AUUGAACGCUGGCGGCAGGCCUAACACAUGCAAGUCGAGCGGAUGAAGGGAGCUUGCUCCUGGAUUCAGCGGCGGACGGGUGAGUGAUGCCUAGGAAUCUGCCUGGUAGUGGGGGAUAACGUCCGGAAACGGGCGCUAAUACCGCAUACGUCCUGAGGGAGAAAGAGGGGGAUCUUCGGACCUCACGCUAUCAGAUGAGCCUAGGUCGGAUUAGCUAGUUGGUGGGGUAAAGGCCUACCAAGGCGACGAUCCGUAACUGGUCUGAGAGGAUGAUCAGUCACACUGGAACUGAGACACGGUCCAGACUCCUACGGGAGGCAGCAGUGGGGAAUAUUGGACAAUGGGCGAAAGCCUGAUCCAGCCAUGCCGCGUGUGUGAAGAAGGUCUUCGGAUUGUAAAGCACUUUAAGUUGGGAGGAAGGGCAGUAAGUUAAUACCUUGCUGUUUUGACGUUACCAACAGAAUAAGCACCGGCUAACUUCGUG
Molecule: ribosomal RNA, 484 nt
Filed under: uncultured bacterium
Lineage: Bacteria
Description: partial 16S ribosomal RNA
Rfam family: Bacterial small subunit ribosomal RNA
Source: RNAcentral